This is a long non-coding RNA of Aedes aegypti (yellow fever mosquito), 1199 nucleotides long. RefSeq lists it as uncharacterized. NCBI's taxonomy places the organism in Eukaryota, Metazoa, Arthropoda, Insecta, Diptera, Culicidae. The record is from RefSeq and is a predicted model, not a curated record. The transcript is spliced from 2 exons.
AAAUUUUUCGUUACGAAAAGAUUCUGGACUGUUCGGGAUUCGAAGCCAGACACUUCCAGCAUGUUAAUUGUUCACUUUGUUACGAGUAAAUGGACACUUCAGGAUAAUUACCACCAUGUCAUGUUCUGUGAGGGUGGUAUCGUUCACAAGUCGACAGACAGCGACGACAGCUGAUGAAUACGAUUGUUAAACGUUGUUUUUUUUUGUGAAUCGAACGCGCUUUUAAAUUUGGUUAUGUUUCAUCCGCGUGUUUACUACGCAAGUGCGCGUCUCAUCAAUGGUAACGACCUAGUGGACAGAUAACUUGGUUGAAACAACAGCAUCACCGUGUGGAAAGAGAAACGGUGAAAUUGCUGAAAGCGCGAUUUGGGCAUUUCACUGAUGAUGAUUUCUUCUUAAUUCGUUUGUUUUGAUACCUCUACGAAUAUAGGUAUUCCACUUUGUGAGAUAUUUAUAAAUUACGGAUUGCUCUUGUUUUUGUGCUGAAUAUUUAGCUAUACUUCUUAGUGUAUGUUAACUAGAGAGUGAUCUAUUAUAUUUUUAUCUCCUGAAUUGACUAUGAUUCUAUACUGUUGCAUGUGAGACUAUAUCUUAUAAAUUUUGAUGGUGUUGGCGGUUGGUCCGUUGAUUCUUCGGAUCUGCAGGUGGGGUCAUGUGGUGAAAUAGUUUCGGAUAUACACUUUUGAUCACACCAGAAAACGGCGCAGUUCAGUCCAAGAUCUCGAUCCGAUUGGAUAUUAGUGCAAAGUUAACGGUCAAAUUUCAAAUAAGUGAUCAAUAUGGGUAAAGGAAAAGGCGGUGGUGGUGGAGGUGGAUCCGGAGCAAACGCCGGUGGCAACCAAAAAGGUGGUGCAGGCAAAUCGAAAGGUGGAAAUGAAAAUAAAGGUGCUGCUGGAGGUAAGGGCGCAGCCAAAGGAGGACAAAAGGGUGGCAAUAAAAAAUAGCAGUGGCGACCUGGUGAGCUUCAACCCGUUCCCGGGACAACAUCCGCAACCGACGGCCUUUCGGAAGAGAUAAUUUGGACUGUGAAAUUGUUUGGCUACGGAUUCGAGUCGAACAAAAUUUUUACUUUAUAAGUAUUCCGUUUCUUUGUGUAUUAUCUGUGUUUAAAUAUUUUGUUUAUAACUAAUAAGACGUAUUAAAAUUAGGUGGAACGAAGAAAAUUAAAAACGCAAAAGUAUUAAUGACUGCAAAACUUA